Molecule: ribosomal RNA, 279 nt
Filed under: uncultured bacterium
Lineage: Bacteria
Description: partial 16S ribosomal RNA
Rfam family: Bacterial small subunit ribosomal RNA
Source: RNAcentral
UGCCAGCCGCCGCGGUAAUACUGAAGGGGCAAACGUUGUUCGGAUUCACUGGGCGUAAAGCGACCGCAGGCGGUUUAUUAAGUCAGAUGUGAAAGCCCCGCGCUCAACGUGGGAACUGCAUUUGAAACUGAUAAACUAGAGUUUGAGAGAGGAGAAUGGAAUUCCAAGUGUAGAGGUGAAAUUCGUAGAUAUUUGGAGGAACAUCAGAGGCGAAGGCGAUUCUCUGGCUCAAUACUGACGCUCAGGGUCGAAAGUGUGGGGAGCAAACAGGAUUAGAUA